Molecule: small nuclear RNA, 160 nt
Organism: Artibeus jamaicensis (Jamaican fruit-eating bat)
Lineage: Eukaryota; Metazoa; Chordata; Mammalia; Chiroptera; Phyllostomidae
Product: U1 spliceosomal RNA
Exons: 1
Source: RefSeq, a predicted model, not a curated record
AUACUUUCCUGGCAAGGGUACCAUAUCAUGAAGGUGGAUUUCCCAGGAUGAGGCUUAUCCAUUGCACUCCAGAUGUGCUGCCUCCUGUGAUUUCACCAAAUAUGGGAAACUCGACUGCAUAAUUUGUAGUAGUGGGGGACUGUGUUUGUGCUCUCCCCAC